This 496-nucleotide ribosomal RNA is filed under the name uncultured bacterium. RNAcentral's name for it is "partial 16S ribosomal RNA". It matches the Rfam family "Bacterial small subunit ribosomal RNA", at positions 28 to 507 of the family's 1533-position model. The record is from RNAcentral.
GAUGAACGCUGGCGGCGUGCCUAAUACAUGCAAGUCGAGCGAACAGACGAGGAGCUUGCUCCUCUGACGUUAGCGGCGGACGGGUGAGUAACACGUGGAUAACCUACCUAUAAGACUGGGAUAACUUCGGGAAACCGGAGCUAAUACCGGAUAAUAUAUUGAACCGCAUGGUUCAAUAGUGAAAGACGGUUUUGCUGUCACUUAUAGAUGGAUCCGCGCCGCAUUAGCUAGUUGGUAAGGUAACGGCUUACCAAGGCAACGAUGCGUAGCCGACCUGAGAGGGUGAUCGGCCACACUGGAACUGAGACACGGUCCAGACUCCUACGGGAGGCAGCAGUAGGGAAUCUUCCGCAAUGGGCGAAAGCCUGACGGAGCAACGCCGCGUGAGUGAUGAAGGUCUUCGGAUCGUAAAACUCUGUUAUAGGGAAGAACAAAUGUGUAAGUAACUAUGCACGUCUUGACGGUACCUAAUCAGAAAGCCACGGCUAACUACGUG